Molecule: ribosomal RNA, 253 nt
Filed under: uncultured bacterium
Lineage: Bacteria
Description: partial 16S ribosomal RNA
Rfam family: Bacterial small subunit ribosomal RNA
Source: RNAcentral
UACGAAGGGGGCUAGCGUUGCUCGGAAUCACUGGGCGUAAAGCACACGUAGGCGGGUCUUUAAGUCAGGGGUGAAAUCCCGGAGCUCAACUCCGGAACUGCCUUUGAUACUGGAGAUCUUGAGUCCGGGAGAGGUGAGUGGAACUCCGAGUGUAGAGGUGAAAUUCGUAGAUAUUCGGAAGAACACCAGUGGCGAAGGCGGCUCACUGGCCCGGUACUGACGCUGAGGCGCGAAAGCGUGGGGAGCAAACAGG